Molecule: long non-coding RNA, 6414 nt
Filed under: Sus scrofa (pig)
Lineage: Eukaryota; Metazoa; Chordata; Mammalia; Artiodactyla; Suidae
Description: lncRNA (ENSSSCG00005027131.1)
Source: RNAcentral
UGGUUCUUACCUCCCAUGGUCAGGUGCCUAAGAGCAGCGUUGAGUUCAUGUUAGCAGUAUCCUGCUUGCAUGUUGGUUUUAGUCUGGGGAAUCUUGGGAUUGCCUUCCAGGCUCUCCGUCUCUCUGGUCUCAUGUAGGAGACUGACAGUUUAGAAAACAGUCUUCUCACCAAGGUAACUGUGAGGCAGAGAGAGAACCACUGAUAUGACUACACCCAAUCAGAAGAACUCUGCUGAGAGUUCCUCUUUCCUCUAGAGAUAGCAUCUUACAGUUUUUCUUGUGUUUAAUGAAGGAGCACGUCUGUAGGAUUACAAAUCUCUGCAUUAUUUUACAUAGUACAGGGGUGCCAACUCUUAGCAUUAUAAAUGAGAACAGUAUUUGACCCAGUGCUCUAGGGAUUGAUAACGUACAUUUAAAGUAAAUAAUUGCUAAGUCCCCAUGUUAUGUGAAUCUAUUAGUACCAUAGUCUUCCAUGGCUGCCAAAAGGUUUAUGUAGAAUAAAGGAGACCAGGAUGAAGCUUUGGCGUCCUCAAGAUAUGUCCAGAUCGCCACAGAAAUUGCUGGCAGCAGGAGGCGCACCUUAGUUUUUUUUCCUCAAACUCACAUAUUUCUACCCAGAGCUGUGGUGGUCCUUCGAUUCUUUCAUUUGGCUGUAGAAGCAAAGUAGUUUUGAACUGUUCUAAAAUUAUUUCACCAUACUUUCAUGGGGCCUAAAGAGAUAUUUUUAGUUUCGUUAGUUUUUAUGAAAGAUGUGUGUCAUGCUCCCCUGACAUAGAGGUUUCUAGUGAUUUCUUGAUUCUGGUAUUUUAAAAAGAUGGGAGUUGGCCUUCAUUGGCAGCUCUCAGCAUCCGCCAGGGCUUGUUCGUUACUUACUUCUAGGCCCGUGGGUGACGUCUGUUUCCUGUCAUUGAAACCACAAGAAGAAGUGGUGAGAAGACUCUGUGGGAUAUGUCCUAUGAAGGCAGCAGCAGCUAAGCACAGUUACCCUCUUCAUGGUCCCUGAAGAGACCCUAGAAAGGCUCUGACCUAGAGCCUCCUAAGCUUAGCCCGAGAAGGCCCCCGAGGGCUGUUGGUUGCUCAAGCCAUGUAAUUAGGUGAGCUAGCUUUUAGACUCCACUGACUGGUCAUUAUUUUUUAUCCCAUUGCACUGUCAUCCCUACAUUUUAUAACUGUGCCCCGUCAGAGUGUUUCCUUAAGUAGAGUACUGCUGGAGGAGAGUAAAUGCUUGUGGGCAUUUCAAAUAUGAAAAUUGGGUGAUGUUGCUUUGCUUUUUUAGACUCUUUUUUUCAAAAGACAUAAACAUACGUUUUAAAACUAGCAGUAUCUAAGAACCUCCAGUUUAUUUUAUUUGAUUAUAUUAUGUUGAUUUUGGGGGGCCACAUCUAUAGCAUAUGGAAGUUUCUGGGCCAGGGAUCAAAUCUGAGCUGCAGCUGUGACCUGCGCCACAGCCGUGGCAAUACCAGAUCCUUAACCCACUGUGCUGGGCUGAGGAUGGAACCCACACCGUGGGACCUCCUAUUUUUUAUUUUUAUUUUGCUUAGUGUUUGAAUAUCCUUGUCGUUAUCUCUAUGCAGGGAUAUUUUUACAGCAUUGCAACUACAGUUUCUACAUGUUAUCUGCUUUUAAUAAAAACAAUGUAUCAUUAACAUUUUUUGGCUUUCUAAUCUUUGAAAAUGGCUACUUUUAUUUGAAAUGGAAAUAUUUUUUAUUAGAAAAGUGAUAUGCAUUGUUCUAAGAAAAUAUAGGUGUGUAUAAAAGUAAAACAAUCCCCUAUCUUGUUUUCCAGAAAUUAUAGUUAUUUUUAGAUAAUUAGAACCAGAGCGAAAACUGUAUGAUGCAUGGUGGUCUCUAUGGAGCCCAAGUACCUUGACGAGAAAUUCUGUGUGUGUUUACACGGGAGCCUAGCUCCGCACAGGUGUGGAUGCUAGAAGCAUCAGAAGGACCUUGUUUUAACUCCUCCUCAUGUUUCUGGUGAUAGAGGAGUAGUGAGAUUUCACCUCAUGCCAUCUCCACUACAUGCCCCCUCCCCACAUUUUCUCAAAUGCAGUCUUAUUCUAGGUUUGUAAAAGACAAAAAUGUUUACGGUGGUUUCUUAAGAUGGAGUCUAGCUUUUGGAGUAGUGUAAUUUCGGGGUCAGUUAAGCUCUUACUGUAGGCUGUGAUUAUUUCUGGGUCUUCAGUAAUGAGGUGAGGAUAGAAGAAAAGAGGCGUGACCGUCGUUUAGAAAUGGAAGGUUUGAGAAUGGUGUGUGCAGCAAGGCGGCCUCCUGCUUGGUGCCUGUGUGUAGCAGCCGUAUCAGCUUCAGGACUUCCUGUCUGCCAGGCCUUUGGGUGUGUCAUUCACACGCUCACCCUUGAGGAAGUGUAGUUGUCCUGCUGCUCACAUCACAACAUGGGAGAAGACGGUUGCUACAGAGAUGGGGAAACAGCAUUCCUGAGUCACUGACUGUUUCUAAAUGAAUGGACUACACCCCUCUUUUAAAGGAGCAAUCGCAGUCUUCUGUAAGCCGAGGCAGUCGAGAGAGAGACCCGAUAAGAAAGUAAAGAACAACUAUCAGUAUUUGGAGCUUGAGAAAUAUGUCAAAACUUUGGGAAAAUAGCUCACCCUUAUAUAGUGUUUUCUAUAUAUGUAUAUAUUCAAAAAUGUUAUCAGAACCUUUGGAUGUUUGAAAGGGAGGACUUACUCUCUUCCUCCCCCAGAUGACAGCGUGUGUGUACCUGCUUCCUGACAGCAGGGGAGAUGGACGUGUCAGCCACACCAUGUGAUAGGUCACAGGAAACGAGGACUUGAGAAUCUGAGCACUUUCUCUCUCGGCCGCUCGUUUUCCCAGCCCACAAGCUUCGUGGUGCGAGGGGCUGGCCGUUUGUCUGGACGGACACACAGGACUGCCAUGUGGCCAGCCUGGGUUCCCCCUGUUCUGCUGAGCUGGAAUAAUGAAACCCGAGUGGCCUUGCCUUCGGGUCCUCUAGGCUAUCAGCUCUCUUGGAUGCGGGCUCUGCUGGUCCCAGGCUUCAGGAUGAGCUAAGCUGGAGGCAAAAACUUAGAUUCUUCUUUGCUCCAAGAGACUGGCCUCCUUGGGCUAUUAGAGGACUGUUAGAACAUAUGGGACUUGACCGUCAGAAGACUGAGUUCUAAUUUUAGUACAGUUUCCCCCUCAUUUUAAUUCGAGUCAAAAAUGUGGUUUACUGGAAAGCAGACUCUUGACAGUUUUAGACAGUUGUGAGGGAAAUUGUUGCUUUGAAUUUAUAAGUAAAUUGCUUCAAGUUUGUAAGUAAAUUAUUGAAAAAGAAGUAAUUACCUGGUGCUUUUUAUAUAGCAGAUCUGUCUUGUGCUUCCCAUGGGCCACUGCCUGGAGUCUUUCUCAGCUCCCUGGGUUGUAUCAAGAAAAAUACACAGAUUCUGAAAGGUAGGGACAGAUUGAAAGGAGUCUUUUAUUUAUUUUUUUUGUAGUUUUCUUUUCUUUUGUAUUUUUAAAUUAAGUAUAGUUGAUUCACCAUGUAAAAAAGAAGUCUUUUAAUUAAGAGUGAAAGAUCUUGGACUCUAUCUGCUGUUUCCUUCGCUGUCUCCUGUAUGAAUUUGACGACUUGAACCUGAAAGCUGAGUGUGGUUGUGAGAUUGCGGAGGCAGGUGGGACUGAGCUGCUGGAGUCUUACUGCUUUAGCGCUUUUUCCGUAGCGGUCACGGAGGUCGCCACUGUGCCAUCCCUGCUCCUGGAGACUGCUCGAUAACCUUCAGUUUUCUUUAAGCACAUUGAGCUUUUUGUUAACUUAAUCCAUGUUUUUCAACCCCUGGUCAUUUUGUGCUUCUCCUUUAGACUGCUUUUCCUCUGAUAGACCCUUUAUUUUAUUUUGUUUUUUAAAGUGGAUACUCCAUUUCUACACAACUCCUGCUGAGGCUAUUGGCACCAAUCUAAAUUGUUUCCAUGUAAAUGGCAGAUGAGGUAUUGACUCAUUAGAUGCCAUCCUUGGACCAUUAUUUGAAAAAGGAAGGAAAAAUUUGCUGCAUUUAAAGGUAUGCAUUAUUUGCUUCUCUCUAGUUCUAAUUGACUUCUCUGUAAGGAAUAGGAAUUGAAGGGAGCAUCACUGGUUCCAUCAUCAUAUAUUACUUAACCUUUUACAAAGCACUUUGCUAUUUUAUUAUUUAUUCUUCAUACAAGUCCUGUGAGAUAAUCCUAAAGAUAAGAAGACUGAAACUAUGGUGCAUACACAGAAAAGCUUACCACGCCGUUACUGUCCUUUAGUGGAAAUGUGGCAAAUUUUGUGGCAAAGUUGAAAUAGGAUUUAUUAUUUUUUUAUUUUUAUUGUUUGUCCUUUUAGGGCCGAACCCGUGGCACAGGGAGCUUCCCAGGCUAGGGGCUGAAUUGGAGCUGUAGCCGUCAGCCUAGCCACAGCCACAGCCACACCAGAUCUGGGCCACAUCUGCAGCCUACACUGCAGCUCACGGCAGCACUGGAUCCUCAGCCCCCUGAGGGAGGCCAGGGAUCGAACCUGCAUCCUCAUGGAUGCUUGUUGGGUUCGUUAACCCCGGAGCCACGACAGGAACUCCAAGAUUUAUUGAUAAUUGAACUCACAUCUAUAUUAUGGCCCUUUGUUGCCUCACUGUCCUAAGAAACUGAAUGUUAGUCCUAUUCUCAAAUAAAAAAUUGAAUCCGCGCCAGACCCUGCUGUCUGUUCUCUUUGAUUCUGAAUGACAGAUACCUCACCUGUUCCUUCCUGGGUACGUAGAUUAGGAUUUGAAAGAACUCUGUUGUUGGCUGCAGUGACACUAAUUUUCCAUUUUAUCCACAGGUAGUCUGUGUCUCUCCUGAAGACUUAUUGCUUUUCAAAGGCGGUAGAAAACUCCCUAAGUGACAUGUGUCCCAUAAUUGGAUAUUUUCCUAAGAACAACUAACAGAUAUGUCAUGUGGGCUGAAGCACCAGUCUGGGUGGCCUGGUCUCAUUCUUAGGGAAAGGCCUUGUUUCUUAAAGGUUUGGUCUGAGCUGUCUAUGACAGCUGUACUGUAUUGUCAUAAACCUUGACUUGAAACUUUUCCUUAGUUUAUUCAGUUUGAAUGAAGUAAUGAAUGAAUGACUAUACUGUGCUUAGGGUGAUACUCCUAAACCUAGAGUGAUGAUAAUUUUAAAAAUAUGUAUUAAAUAUUGGCCAUAUCAAAUAAAUAAGACAUGAGCCCCCAAGCAACUUAUAUUCUAGCCCACAGAAACAGCUACAAUGAACAGUCUUUUUUUUUUUUUUGCUCUUUAGGCCCAUACCCUCGGCAUAUGGAAGUUCUCAGGCUAGGGGUUGCAGACAUGGCUCGGAUCUGGAGUUGCUGUGGCUGUGGUGUAUGCCGGCAGCUACAGCUCCGAUUCAGCCCCAAGCCUAGAAACUUACUUCCAAAUGCCAAGGGUGUGGCCCUAAAGGGGAAAAAAAAAAAAGGAGGAAGAAUCUGAUAUAAAAGAUUUAGUCUGGCUUGGCUGAAUCCUUUGGGUCUUUUUGUGAAAUGAUUGUGGCUAAAUAUAUAACUAAUGGAGAUGAGGGAUGACGUUUUCCUUAUGCUCUCGUUGGGGCGCAGUGUUAACUAGUGCAGUCUUCAAGUGUCUAUAAGAAGUCUUUCUGUAGUAAAAACAGCACAGUUGCCUUUACAGAAUAAUCUCUCACUACUCCAUUUUUAUGAUUUUAGUGGUCCCAAGAACCAUUUUGUUUUUUAAUAGGGGAACCGAAGCAUGAAGAGUUCAUGUGAUUUGCUCAGAAUCACGCUUGUUAAAGAAAGACACCUGAAAUAAAAAUCAGGACUCAGGAUCUUUUUCCUUUAGCUAAAGUUCUAGGUAAAUUUUGUCAGUUUGCUUAAUGUAUCAGUUGGCUACUUUUACAUGACAAACUCAACAGCUUAAAAUAAAACCCACUUGUUAGCUGACAGUUCUGUUAGAGGUCUAACAUGGGUGGUGUGGCUGGGUUCUCAGUAUUAGAGGGCUCAAAUCAAGGUCUCAUCUGUAGGUGCUGGAGGAGAAUCUUCCAGGCGAAUUCAGGUUGUUGCUAGACUUUGGUCUCCUGCAGUUGUAGGACUGAGGCCCCUCGUUUUUUUUUUUUUUUUUUUUUGCUGGCUCUCAGCUCCUAGAAGCUGCCUGUAAUCCCUGCCAUUUGGCCUCUUUUAUGCUCAAGCCAGAAACGGCAUGCUGACCUCUCACGCUAGAUCUGCAGGGUUUGUGUGAUUGAGUAGGCCCACACAGAUAAGUUCUCCUUCUUCAAAGUCAGUCGUGGAGUUCCUCUUGUGGCUCAGUGGCUCAAGAACCUGACAUAGUGUCUGUGAGGAUGCGGAUUCAUUCCCCCGCCUUGCUCAGUGGUUAAGGAUCCGGCCUUGCAGCAAGCUGCAGUAUAGGUCACAGAUGUGGCUUGCAACCAUUGUUGCCAUGGCUGCGGUGUAGGCCAGCAGCUGCAG